Carassius gibelio (silver crucian carp) is the source of this 355-nucleotide long non-coding RNA. RefSeq lists it as uncharacterized. The transcript is spliced from 3 exons. The record is from RefSeq and is a predicted model, not a curated record. Lineage: Eukaryota; Metazoa; Chordata; Actinopteri; Cypriniformes; Cyprinidae.
GGUUUCUCUCCAGUGUGAACUCUAAUGUGCCUGUUAAGGUUUCCUUUUUGAGUAAAACUUUUUCCACACUGUUGGCAGGGGAAAGGCUUUCCUCCAGUGUGAACUCUCAUGUGCUCUUUAAGGUUUCCAUUACGAUAAAAACUCUUUCCACACUCAGGGCAGAUGUGAGGUUUCUCUCCAGUGUGAACCCUCAUGUGCCUGUUAAGGUUUCCUUGUUGAGUAAAUCUUUUUCCACACUGUUGGCAGGGGAAUGUCUUCCCUCCAUUGUGGACUUUCAGGUUUUCAUGUUCCUUGAAACAGACUUUUGUAAAAUAACUUUCAGUUUCUGUUUUAUGAGCAGUCUUCUGUGAGAAAG